UACGGAGGAUGCAAGCGUUAUCCGGAUUUAUUGGGUUUAAAGGGUGCGCAGGUGGUUUAAUAAGUCAGUGGUGAAAGUCUGCCGCUUAACGGUAGGAUUGCCAUUGAUACUGUUGGACUUGAAUAUGGAUGAGGUAGGCGGAAUGUGUAGUGUAGCGGUGAAAUGCUUAGAUAUUACACAGAACACCGAUGGCGAAGGCAGCUUACUAAUCCAUGAUUGACGCUGAGGCACGAAAGCGUGGGGAUCAAACAGG
This 253-nucleotide ribosomal RNA is filed under the name uncultured prokaryote. Its description in RNAcentral is "partial 16S ribosomal RNA". It matches the Rfam family "Bacterial small subunit ribosomal RNA", at positions 524 to 776 of the family's 1533-position model. The record is from RNAcentral.